RNAcentral lists this ribosomal RNA (466 nucleotides) under uncultured bacterium. RNAcentral describes it as "partial 16S ribosomal RNA". It matches the Rfam family "Bacterial small subunit ribosomal RNA", at positions 28 to 507 of the family's 1533-position model. The record is from RNAcentral.
GACGAACGCUGGCGGCGCGCCUAACACAUGCAAGUCGAACGAGCGAGAGAGAGCUUGCUUUCUCAAGCGAGUGGCGAACGGGUGAGUAACGCGUGAGGAACCUGCCUCAAAGAGGGGGACAACAGUUGGAAACGACUGCUAAUACCGCAUAAGCCCACGACCCGGCAUCGGGUAGAGGGAAAAGGAGCAAUCCGCUUUGAGAUGGCCUCGCGUCCGAUUAGCUAGUUGGUGAGGUAACGGCCCACCAAGGCGACGAUCGGUAGACGGACUGAGAGGUUGAACGGCCACAUUGGGACUGAGACACGGCCCAGACUCCUACGGGAGGCAGCAGUGGGGAAUAUUGCACAAUGGGGGAAACCCUGAUGCAGCGACGCCGCGUGGAGGAAGAAGGUCUUCGGAUUGUAAACUCCUGUUGUUGAGGAAGAUAAUGACGGUACUCAACAAGGAAGUGACGGCUAACUACGUG